GUGGAUUAGAUACCCUGGUAGUCCUGGCAGUAAACGGUGCACGUUUGGUGUGGGAGGAUUCGACCCCUUCCGUGCCGGAGCUAACGCGUUAAACGUGCCGCCUGGGGAGUACGGUCGCAAGAUUAAAACUCAAAGAAAUUGACGGGGACCCGCACAAGCGGUGGAGUAUGUGGCUUAAUUCGAUGCAACGCGAAGAACCUUACCUGGCCUUGACAUGCAUCUCUAAACCGGUGAAAGCCGGCGAGCGUAGCAAUACGCAAUUUGCACAGGUGCUGCAUGGCCGUCGUCAGCU
This 292-nucleotide ribosomal RNA is filed under the name uncultured bacterium. RNAcentral describes it as "partial 16S ribosomal RNA". It matches the Rfam family "Bacterial small subunit ribosomal RNA", at positions 773 to 1060 of the family's 1533-position model. The record is from RNAcentral.